GCGCGGGUAGCUCAGCGGUAGAGCAGUUGGCUUUUAACCAAUUGGUCCUGGGUUCGAUCCCCAGCCCGCGUA
This 72-nucleotide transfer RNA is filed under the name Roseimicrobium gellanilyticum. Its description in RNAcentral is "tRNA-Lys". It matches the Rfam family "tRNA". From Rfam's summary of the family: Transfer RNA (tRNA) molecules are approximately 80 nucleotides in length. Their secondary structure includes four short double-helical elements and three loops (D, anti-codon, and T loops). The record is from RNAcentral. Lineage: Bacteria; Pseudomonadati; Verrucomicrobiota; Verrucomicrobiia; Verrucomicrobiales; Verrucomicrobiaceae. RNAcentral also lists the same sequence under 2 other names.